Molecule: ribosomal RNA, 516 nt
Filed under: uncultured bacterium
Lineage: Bacteria
Description: partial 16S ribosomal RNA
Source: RNAcentral
UAGUUUGAUCCUGGCUCAGGUGAAGUCGUAACAAGAUAACCGUAAGUCGUAACAAGGUAACCGUAGAAUUUGAUCAUGGCUCAGGAAAGUCGUAACAAGGUAGCCGUAAGUCGUAACAAGGUAACCGUAAGUCGUAACAAGGUAGCCGUAGAGUUUGAUAAUGGCUCAGCCUUUGACUUAAAAAAAUGGAGAAGUCGUAACAAGAUAACCGUAGAGUUUGAUCAUGGCUCAGGAAAGUCGUAACAAGGUAACCGUAGAGUUUGAUCCUGGCUCAGAAAAGUCGUAACAAGGUAGCCGUAAGUCGUAACAAGGUAACCGUAAGUCGUAACAAGGUAGCCGUAGAGUUUGAUAAUGGCUCAGCCUUUGACUUAAAAAAAUGGAGAAGUCGUAACAAGAUAACCGUAGAGUUUGAUCAUGGCUCAGAAGUCGUAACAAGGUAACCGUAGAGUUUGAUCCUGGCUCAGUCGUAACAAGGUAACCGUAAGUCGUAACAAGGUAACCGUAGAGUUUGAACAA